Molecule: long non-coding RNA, 258 nt
Filed under: Nicotiana benthamiana
Lineage: Eukaryota; Viridiplantae; Streptophyta; Magnoliopsida; Solanales; Solanaceae
Description: long non-coding RNA (NBEN_LNC040895)
Source: RNAcentral
GCCCAGUCACUAAUCGACUGUGGCAUAGAAUAUGUUGUUGGUUGGGCUAUAACAGAACAAUUAGUAGUUGGAAUACUGAAAUCCAAUGGGUAUGUUGCCUAGCUAGAAGUAAACUGUGGCAUAAUGUUGUUGCUACUACUGCCUUUGUUACUACAGUUGCACUCAUUUGGAGAAAUAGAAACUAUAUCAGAUUUGAGGGGAAACCAUUAGAGGAAAAUCAGUUCUGUCGCGAGGUUGCAUUGCUCAUUCAUAUUCGGG